RNAcentral lists this ribosomal RNA (422 nucleotides) under uncultured bacterium. RNAcentral's name for it is "bacterial SSU rRNA". It matches the Rfam family "Bacterial small subunit ribosomal RNA", at positions 355 to 774 of the family's 1533-position model. The record is from RNAcentral.
UGAGGAAUCUUGGUCAAUGGACGAGAGUCUGAACCAGCCAUGCCGCGUGAAGGAUGAAGGCGUUCUGCGUUGUAAACUUCUUUUGCGGGGGAAGAAACCUUGAUAUUCUUAUCAAGCCGACGGUACCCCGAGAAUAAGCACCGGCUAACUCCGUGCCAGCAGCCGCGGUAAUACGGAGGGUGCAAGCGUUAUCCGGAUUUACUGGGUUUAAAGGGUGUGUAGGCGGAUUAUUAAGUCAGCGGUGAAAUCUCCAGGCUCAACCUGGAAACUGCCAUUGAUACUAUUAGUCUUGAAUAUUGUGGAGGUGGGCGGAACGGGUCAUGUAGCGGUGAAAUGCAUAGAUAUGUCAUAGAACACCGAUUGCGAAGGCAGCUAACGAAACUAUAACUGACGCUGAGGCACGAAAGUGUGGGGAUCAAACA